UACAGAGGGUGCGAGCGUUGUCCGGAAUUACUGGGCGUAAAGGGCGCGUAGGUGGCGCCGCAAGUCCAUGGUGAAAGCUCGAUGCUCAACAUCGAGUCGGCCACGGAGACUGCGGGGCUCGAGCACUGUAGGGGCAGAUGGAAUUCCGGGUGUAGCGGUGGAAUGCGUAGAGAUCCGGAAGAACACCGGUGGCGAAGGCGGUCUGCUGGGCAGUUCCUGACACUGAGGCACGAAGGCCAGGGGAGCAAACGGG
RNAcentral lists this ribosomal RNA (253 nucleotides) under uncultured prokaryote. RNAcentral describes it as "partial 16S ribosomal RNA". It matches the Rfam family "Bacterial small subunit ribosomal RNA", at positions 524 to 776 of the family's 1533-position model. The record is from RNAcentral.